GAUGAACGCUGGCGGCGUGCCUAAUACAUGCCAGUCGAGCGAACGGACGAGAAGCUUGCUUCUCUGAUGUUAGCGGCGGACGGGUGAGUAACACGUGGAUAACCUACCUAUAAGACUGGGAUAACUUCGGGAAACCGGAGCUAAUACCGGAUAAUAUUUUGAACCGCAUGGUUCAAAAGUGAAAGACGGUCUUGCUGUCACUUAUAGAUGGAUCCGCGCUGCAUUAGCUAGUUGGUAAGGUAACGGCUUACCAAGGCAACGAUGCAUAGCCGACCUGAGAGGGUGAUCGGCCACACUGGAACUGAGACACGAUCCAGACUCCUACGGGAGGCAGCAGUAGGGAAUCUUCCGCAAUGGGCGAAAGCCUGACGGAGCAACGCCGCGUGAGUGAUGAAGGUCUUCGGAUCGUAAAACUCUGUUAUUAGGGAAGAACAUAUGUGUAAGUAACUGUGCACAUCUUGACGGUACCUAAUCAGAAAGCCACGGCUAACUACGUG
RNAcentral lists this ribosomal RNA (497 nucleotides) under uncultured bacterium. RNAcentral describes it as "partial 16S ribosomal RNA". It matches the Rfam family "Bacterial small subunit ribosomal RNA", at positions 28 to 507 of the family's 1533-position model. The record is from RNAcentral.